AAUUUUUUUUGAAGCACUGACGCCUAUUUCUAUAGGAGAGACGCCCAAUUAAGCGUCUGCCUUAUACAAAUAAGCACCGGUGCUUAAGGAAAGCC
Triticum aestivum (bread wheat) is the source of this 95-nucleotide non-coding RNA. The record is from Rfam. Lineage: Eukaryota; Viridiplantae; Streptophyta; Magnoliopsida; Poales; Poaceae.